This 411-nucleotide ribosomal RNA is filed under the name uncultured bacterium. RNAcentral describes it as "bacterial SSU rRNA". It matches the Rfam family "Bacterial small subunit ribosomal RNA", at positions 370 to 772 of the family's 1533-position model. The record is from RNAcentral.
AAUGGGGGCAACCCUGACGCAGCGACGCCGCGUGAGUGAGGAAGGCCUUCGGGUCGUAAAGCUCUGUCAAAGGGAAAGAAGUGCAUGGUGGCUAAUACCUGCCAUGUUUGACGGUACCCUUAAAGGAAGCACCGGCUAACUCCGUGCCAGCAGCCGCGGUAAUACGGAGGGUGCAAGCGUUGUUCGGAAUCACUGGGCGUAAAGGGCGCGCAGGCGGUUUGGUAAGUCAGAUGUGAAAGCCCACGGCUUAACCGUGGAAGUGCAUUUGAUACUGUCAGACUUGAGUACCAGAGGGGAAAGUGGAAUUCCCGGUGUAGAGGUGAAAUUCGUAGAUAUCGGGAGGAAUACCGGUGGCGAAGGCGACUUUCUGGCUGAGUACUGACGCUGAGGCGCGAAAGCGUGGGGAGCAAA